GUAGGUGGCAAGCGUUGUCCGGAAUUAUUGGGCGUAAAGCGCGCGCAGGCGGUCCUUUAAGUCUGAUGUGAAAGCCCACGGCUCAACCGCGGAGGGUCAUUGGAAACUGGGGGACUUGAGUACAGAAGAGGAAAGCGGAAUUCCAAGUGUAGCGGUGAAAUGCGUAGAGAUUUGGAGGAACACCAGUGGCGAAGGCGGCUUUCUGGUCUGUAACUGACGCUGAGGCGCGAAAGCGUGGGGAGCAAACAGGGAUUAGAUACCCUGGUAGUCCACGCCGUAAACGAUGAGUGCUAAGUGUUAGGGGGUUUCCCGCCCCUUAGUGCUGCAGCUAACGCAUUAAGCACUCCGCCUGGGGAGUACGCCUCAAGGCUG
RNAcentral lists this ribosomal RNA (372 nucleotides) under uncultured organism. RNAcentral describes it as "partial 16S ribosomal RNA". It matches the Rfam family "Bacterial small subunit ribosomal RNA", at positions 527 to 896 of the family's 1533-position model. The record is from RNAcentral.